GGACAGAUGGCUGAGUGGUCGAAAGCGCCCGCCUGCUAAGUGGGUAAGGGGCGAUAGCCCCUUCAUGGGUUCGAAUCCCAUUCUGUCCGCCA
Molecule: transfer RNA, 92 nt
Filed under: Armatimonadota bacterium
Lineage: Bacteria; Bacillati; Armatimonadota
Also listed under: 1 other name
Description: Armatimonadetes bacterium (activated sludge metagenome) tRNA-Ser
Rfam family: tRNA
About the family: Transfer RNA (tRNA) molecules are approximately 80 nucleotides in length.
Source: RNAcentral